UACGGAGGGUGCAAGCGUUAUCCGGAUUCACUGGGCUUAAAGGGUGCGUAGGUGGCUUAGUAAGUCAGUGGUGAAAUCUCCGGGCUUAACCCGGAAACUGCCAUUGAUACUAUUAGUCUUGAAUACCGUGGAGGUCAGCGGAAUAUGUCAUGUAGCGGUGAAAUGCUUAGAUAUGACAUAGAACACCAAUUGCGAAGGCAGCUGGCUACACGAGCAUUGACACUCAGGCACGAAAGCGUGGGGAUCAAACAGG
This 253-nucleotide ribosomal RNA is filed under the name uncultured bacterium. RNAcentral's name for it is "partial 16S ribosomal RNA". It matches the Rfam family "Bacterial small subunit ribosomal RNA", at positions 524 to 776 of the family's 1533-position model. The record is from RNAcentral.